UAUGUGGUAACAGUGUAUGCCUGUCCUUAACUGUGAUGGGCAUCCCGGGAAGGAGCGAUCUGACUCGGGGGCCGGGAGUGUCGUGGGGCAUCGGCUUCGGUUGGUGUGGCGCGGGGCUUUCGUUUGCAACACUUUACCUAUUUCACCUUGAAGAAAUUAGAGUGUUCAACGCAGCGCUUAGGCGCAUUGAAUAUUGCAGCAUGGGAUGAUAGAAGAGGACAGACGUCUUAUUUUGUUGGUUUUAUGAGACGAUUGUAAUGAUAGAAGGGGACAGUUGGAGGUGUUUGUAUUGUCACGUCAGAGGUGAAAUUCUUAGAUUGUGUCAAGACAAACUUCUGCGAAAGCAUUCACCUAGGAUGUUUUCAUCAAUCAAGAACGAAAGUUGGGGGAUCGAAGACGAUCAGAUACCGUCGUAGUCUCAACCAUAAACUAUGCCGACCGAGGAUUGGAGAAUGUUAAUUUAUAUGACUUCCCCAGCACUUUGCGAGAAAUCAGAGUCUUUGGGUUCCGGGGGGAGUAUGGUCGCAAGGCUGAAACUUAAAGGAAUUGACGGAAGGGCACCACCAGGCGUGGAGCCUGCGGCUUAAUUUGACACAACACGGGAAAACUUACCAGGUCCAGACAACGUAAGGAUUGACAGUUUGAGAGCGCUUUCUUGAUUCGUUGGGUGGUGGUGCAUGGCCGUUCUUAGUUGGUGGUGUGAAUUGUCUGGUUGAUUCCGUUAACGGGCGAGACCUUCGCCUACUAAAUAGCUGCUGGAAGAUAUUGCAUCAAGGCCUAGGGGCCCACUUGCAGAAGGGUUCGUCCCCUGUGAGUGGCAGUUCCCUGGGUUGCUUUUCUUCCAGAAAACGCUUCUUAGAGGGACUAUUUGUGACAAGCAAAUGGAAGUUGGAGGCAAAAACAGGUCUGUGAUGCCCUUCGAUGUUCUGGGCUGCACGCGCGCUACACUGAUAGAGUCAACGAGUUUACAACCUUGGCCGAAAGGCUUGGGUAAUCUUUUGAAACUCUAUCGUGAUGGGGAUAGAUGAUUGCAAUUAUUCGUCUUGAACGAGGAAUGCCUAGUAAGCGCGGUUCAUCUGACCGUGCUGAUUACGUCCCUGCCCUUUGUACACACCGCCCGUCGCUCCUACCGAUUGAAUGGUCCGGUGAAAUCUUCGGACUGUGGGUUUGUCUACUUCUAGUUUUGCUGGAAGUAGCGCCUAUGGAAUGUUGAUUAAACCUU
RNAcentral lists this ribosomal RNA (1222 nucleotides) under metagenome. RNAcentral's name for it is "SSU rRNA". It matches the Rfam family "Eukaryotic small subunit ribosomal RNA", at positions 693 to 1767 of the family's 1831-position model. The record is from RNAcentral.